RNAcentral lists this ribosomal RNA (486 nucleotides) under uncultured bacterium. RNAcentral describes it as "partial 16S ribosomal RNA". It matches the Rfam family "Bacterial small subunit ribosomal RNA", at positions 29 to 507 of the family's 1533-position model. The record is from RNAcentral.
AUUGAACGCUGGCGGCAUGCCUUACACAUGCAAGUCGAACGGCAGCACGGGUGCUUGCACCUGGUGGCGAGUGGCGAACGGGUGAGUAAUACAUCGGAACAUGUCCUGUAGUGGGGGAUAGCCCGGCGAAAGCCGGAUUAAUACCGCAUACGAUCUACGGAUGAAAGCGGGGGACCUUCGGGCCUCGCGCUAUCGGGUUGGCCGAUAGCUGAUUAGCUAGUUGGUGGGGUAAAGGCCUACCAAGGCGACGAUCAGUAGCUGGUCUGAGAGGACGACCAGGCAACAGUGGACUUGAAAACCGGCCCAGAGUCCAAGGGAGGGAGGAGGUGGGGAAUUUUGGCAAUGGGGGGAAGGCUUGUCCAAGAAAUGCGGGUGGGGUGAAGAGGCCUUCCGGGUGGAAAGCCCCUUUGGCCGGGAAAAAAUUCUUUGGCUUAAUACCAGCCGGGGAUGACGGUACCGGAAGAAUAAGCACCGGCUAACUACGUG